GCACCCGUAGCUCAGCUGGAUAGAGUACUCGGCUACGAACCGAGCGGUCAGAGGUUCGAAUC
RNAcentral lists this transfer RNA (62 nucleotides) under Marinomonas ushuaiensis DSM 15871. It matches the Rfam family "tRNA", at positions 1 to 59 of the family's 71-position model. From Rfam's summary of the family: Transfer RNA (tRNA) molecules are approximately 80 nucleotides in length. Their secondary structure includes four short double-helical elements and three loops (D, anti-codon, and T loops). Lineage: Bacteria; Pseudomonadati; Pseudomonadota; Gammaproteobacteria; Oceanospirillales; Oceanospirillaceae. The record is from Rfam by way of RNAcentral.